Molecule: long non-coding RNA, 908 nt
Filed under: Sus scrofa (pig)
Lineage: Eukaryota; Metazoa; Chordata; Mammalia; Artiodactyla; Suidae
Description: lncRNA (ENSSSCG00030035629.1)
Source: RNAcentral
GCGCCGGCUGCGGCCGGUCGGGGCUCCCGGCAGGAGGGCGCCGGGGCCUGGGGCGCGCGUGCCCAAGUCCCGAGAGGCGGCGGCUGCGCCACUGCGGGGCGCGGCAACUCGCUGGGCAGCGGGGACUCGGCGGCCCUGCAGCUCUCGCGUCCCUCCUCCUGCCUCCCUGCGUGACCCGCCUGCUUUGGAGGGCACGCAAGGUCCGCAGUGGGUGCGGGGACGUCCGCAGAACUGGGCCCCCGAAUCUCCGUGGACCUGGGACAGAAACCACGCGCUGGAGCAUCUCAACCUCUGUCUCCAACAACCGGUCCACAGCCAGCUUGCGGCAGAAACCAGAGCACAGACUGCAGGGGCCGGAAAAAAAAAAAGAAGAAGAAAGAGUGAUGUUAAAAUUUUGAAUUCAGAAACAGUUGCCAUGUGGGGAAUUGAUUUUGGCUUGAAACAGGCCACCCGCUUCUCAUCAGUGGCUCCUGGCAGGGUUCCCGGGCUCAGGACACGCCUCCUCCACUCAUUUCCUGGGAAGUCUGUUCCUCUGAGGGCCAUCUCCUCGCCCUUGCAUCACACCUGGAUGCGGUUUCCUUGAGCUGCUGGGUGGCGUUGCCCUGCUCCACUCACUCCACGGCUGUCUUGGCUCCAACAUCCCCUGCCUUUCCUCCUGCUCCUGCCAGCUGAUGGAGAAGGGGUAUUCUGAAGAGAGCAGAGGGCAGUAGCAUGGGGCCGGGGCCUGGGGGUGGAGCUGGGGUGAAGCUCAGGCAGAUAACAGGGGUCAAGGGGGGUCUGAGGCAGCCAGAACCGCCUCCACGAGCCUGUUCCAGCUCCCAGCAGGCUCACUUAGGCUCCCUCGGCCUGGCUCAGAUCUCUUUUCUUAAUCCAAUAAAGGGGCACUUGCCUACUUUUGAAAAGGUGCC